AAAUGAGUUAAAACUUUCAACAACGGAUCUCUUGGUUCUGGCAUCGAUGAAGAACGCAGCGAAAUGCGAUAAGUAAUGUGAAUUGCAGAAUUCCAGUGAAUCAUCGAAUCUUUGAACGCACAUUGCGCCCAUUAGCAUUCUAGUGGGCAUGCCUG
RNAcentral lists this ribosomal RNA (155 nucleotides) under uncultured fungus. RNAcentral describes it as "5.8S ribosomal RNA". It matches the Rfam family "5.8S ribosomal RNA". From Rfam's summary of the family: 5.8S ribosomal RNA (5.8S rRNA) is a component of the large subunit of the eukaryotic ribosome. It is transcribed by RNA polymerase I as part of the 45S precursor that also contains 18S and 28S rRNA. The record is from RNAcentral. Lineage: Eukaryota; Fungi.